GUUUUUGAGAGCUUAAGUUAAUGUUUUAAAACAAUUUGUUGUAUUUGAUUCAUUAUAUUAUUGUAGUGUUAAUGAAGCUGCAGACACAGCUCCUUUCAACAUGGCCGGAGGAGAGGUGUACUGGCAGUCGCGUGACACACACAGAUCAGACACAUGUUUCUGUGUUGCAGAUGUGCAGUAAAGAGCCAAAGACCCAGUACUGUCUCCUGCCUCUUACUUUCACACCAGAACACAACGCAAGAACAACAGGCGUAACACAUGAACGGGUUACACAUACUGAGAAGAGGAGGCGAGAGGAGAGAACGAGAGUGCAGCAGUUUGGUGAAAGGAACAGGAAAGAUGAAGAAGAGGUGAGCAUCCAAGAGACGAGCAAGAGGACGGUUUCAAAGCAGACAUUAUGGCACAAUAAAAGCUGUAAGAGCAGAGAUUCAUUCAUGUCUUUACUAUUUUUCUUUAGCUUCUACUCCCGCUGCUUACAAUAAAUCUGAGAUAAAGAACAAACAAGAACAACUCACAUGGCAUUGAUUGUUUAGUUCAGUGUCACUCUGUGAUUGUUUGACAUUUCAUAUAAAUGUGACUCUAAACUAUAGCCAAUAAUAUUAAAAAGCUGCUGUUACUGAGUGAAACUUGAAGGAUUAUGAUAAACUUCAGUUCUUACUGAAUCUGUAACAUUGCUUUUUUUAAAAUUGUUAAAUGACUUUUGUGUCACUGUGCACAGUGAAAAACUCACCUGAUGGUGGUGUAGUGGUGAGGCCAUGUUCACCACUAGAUGGAGACAACCUGGCACAGGCCUCCUCCUGCUUCACUGCCAUAUAUCCAUCACCAGAGGGCUCCACUGACCUGCCUGCUGACAUCAGACCACACCCCUGUGUCAUGUGACCUGGCAGGAGUAGCAAAGCUGGACUCAGACCUGGCCCAGGCAAGUUCAAAGGCAGCUGUGGUAGAGAGAGUAUAUGGGCUCAAAUUGUGGUCAUAAAUAUUUUGUACUUGUAAAUCAGGAUUUGUGUGUGUAUGG
Molecule: non-coding RNA, 1015 nt
Organism: Maylandia zebra (zebra mbuna)
Lineage: Eukaryota; Metazoa; Chordata; Actinopteri; Cichliformes; Cichlidae
Source: RefSeq, a predicted model, not a curated record